RNAcentral lists this ribosomal RNA (253 nucleotides) under uncultured bacterium. RNAcentral describes it as "partial 16S ribosomal RNA". It matches the Rfam family "Bacterial small subunit ribosomal RNA", at positions 524 to 776 of the family's 1533-position model. The record is from RNAcentral.
UACGAAGGGGGCUAGCGUUACUCGGAUUUACUGGGCGUAAAGGGCGCGUAGGCGGCUUGUACAGUCAGACGUGAAAUUCCUGGGCUCAACCUGGGGGCUGCGUUUGAUACGGGCGGGCUUGAGUUCGGAAGAGGGUCGUGGAAUUCCCAGUGUAGAGGUGAAAUUCGUAGAUAUUGGGAAGAACACCGGUGGCGAAGGCGGCGACCUGGUCCGAUACUGACGCUGAGGCGCGAAAGCGUGGGGAGCAAACAGG